CUCAAAUCCUUGCCUUUUUCCUUCCAAAAUUCUUUUCUCUCUGCCUCAUAUUUAGUCUCCUAAGCUCCUUUCAAGUCUCUCUUAACCUAAUGGCUUCUAAAAUGAAGCUACCGUAGAGGAGAAAAUCUGUUUGUGGGUUGGAAGAGAGUGUCUGCAGAAAGAGAUUAGUAGCCGAGCCCUCUCUUGCUCCAAUCUCUACUCUAGAUCCUGCUUCAGCUUCCACUCAGUC
RNAcentral lists this long non-coding RNA (229 nucleotides) under Elaeis guineensis (African oil palm). RNAcentral describes it as "long non-coding RNA (EGUI_LNC066027)". The record is from RNAcentral. Lineage: Eukaryota; Viridiplantae; Streptophyta; Magnoliopsida; Arecales; Arecaceae.